Molecule: long non-coding RNA, 1251 nt
Organism: Herpailurus yagouaroundi (jaguarundi)
Lineage: Eukaryota; Metazoa; Chordata; Mammalia; Carnivora; Felidae
Exons: 3
Source: RefSeq, a predicted model, not a curated record
GCGGUGGGUGGUGGGCAUUACUGUCGGGCGUGGGUGGUCUCCUCUGCAUCUGCAGGGCGUGAGGCUGUGGGUUUGUGGUGUGUGGCCUCAGCAGAUGUGUUGGGGAGGCUUCAUGCUCUGUGAGUAACAACAAUUCUGUCAGCCAUUGCCACCUUACUAUGCGCUUUACAUGCCUUAGUUCACUUGAUCAUCUCAGUGAGUUUUCCUCAUUGUUUCAUUUAUAGAUGAGGAAGGUGAGACACAGAGAGGUCAAGUAACUCUCUUGAUGUCACACAGCUGUUUUAAAUCCAGGCCGUCUGACACCAGGACAGACAAUAUCUGAGCCACGUUGUGGGGCAGGAAGGAGCCGGUCUGGGGAAGAGGAACCCGCUACAUCCAUGUCCACUUUGGUGUCCUGAGGUAGCAGGUCUGGAGUGAGGGUAGCUUUUCCCGCCCGUCUCCCUGCACAGCAGCAUGUCAGCUUGUAGCAGGAGCAUUAGGAGAAGAAACAGAAACCCACUAGCAGCUGCUGAGACAGGCCCACAGUGGGGAAGGAGGGGCAUAGAAGGCCCCGACCUUGGCUUUCAGGAGCAGGAUCCAGCUGGCAAGGUAUGGGGGCUAACCUAGCUCACCCAACCUAACCUCCAUGCUACUGUCUUGCCCCACCUCUCUUUGGAGGACCAAGGUGCCUUCCUGAAAAGACCAUGACUGGGGUCAAAGUUCCCUGCAGAACCCCUUCUCCUCCAAGGGCCACUCCCUGACUCCCAGGAGACCCCCUUCCAGGGGCUGUCCAGGGCUUUGGCUAAUCAGUUCACCCGUACCCCCACCCCUACCUGUCUCCCCCUCUUCAUGGGAAAUAGACCUCUCUGCCCACAGGGUCAGAGCCACUUUCCCACAGGGAUCAGACGUCCUUAGUCCUGGACAUUACACUCCUUCCACAAGGAUCUGCUCACUUCUUCCCUCCUAUCCACCUCUGUCCUGGUUUGGCAUCUGGGGCCCCGUGUGCUCCUCUGCACUUCUGACUGAGCCAGAGGUCAGACGGACAGAAUUUUGGCUCUAGAACCACCCCUCGCCUCGCGUUCUGGCCUGGCGGCACCCCGGGGGAACGCUGGUGGGCUAGGCGGCCAAAGCCCCUCCUCCGACCCGCAGAGGCCCCGCCCCCUCCCCUUCCUCGGGGCCUCCGCGGCGCCCUCGCUCCUCGCGGUACCCCCUCUGGGGGCCCUCCGCCGCUGGGCCGAGGCCGGAGCCGCGGCCGCCGCCGCCGCCGCCGCC